This 403-nucleotide long non-coding RNA is filed under the name Brassica napus (rape). Its description in RNAcentral is "long non-coding RNA (BNAP_LNC014480)". Lineage: Eukaryota; Viridiplantae; Streptophyta; Magnoliopsida; Brassicales; Brassicaceae. The record is from RNAcentral.
AUUGUGGCUACGAACUUUUGCUUAAAAGUGGGAAUAUAUCGGUAUUUUGUAUAUAGAGUAAUACUUCAUCCAGAGUUCAAAUCUCCAUUUUUGUCAAGAAAGGCUAUAGAGUAAUGAGUCUAAUGACUGAAAGAGAGGAUAUACUGCAUAUUAUAUUAUUAUCUUUGGCAAAAGUAAAUGCAUAACAAAGAAAUAUUAUACUUGCGAAUUGGGAUCAACUAUGUUUUUUUUUUGGUGUAAAGCGAUCUAAUAUGUUUUAAAGGCCUUAAUAAAAUUAUUUAAAUUCCUUUAGUUUUAAAAUCUUUAAUCCAACCAGCUUUUGUAGUUAAUUUUUUUUUUAUCUUAUUGUAUAUACAUGGGGGUAUUGGGGGCGUCUAAUAUAAAGAGGAAACAAAUACCAGUA